UACGUAGGGCGCGAGCGUUGUCCGGAAUUAUUGGGCGUAAAGAGCUCGUAGGCGGCUUGUCGCGUCGGUUGUGAAAGCCCGGGGCUUAACCCCGGGUCUGCAGUCGAUACGGGCAGGCUAGAGUUCGGUAGGGGAGAUCGGAAUUCCUGGUGUAGCGGUGAAAUGCGCAGAUAUCAGGAGGAACACCGGUGGCGAAGGCGGAUCUCUGGGCCGAUACUGACGCUGAGGAACGAAAGCGUGGGGAGCGAACAGG
This 253-nucleotide ribosomal RNA is filed under the name uncultured bacterium. RNAcentral's name for it is "partial 16S ribosomal RNA". It matches the Rfam family "Bacterial small subunit ribosomal RNA", at positions 524 to 776 of the family's 1533-position model. The record is from RNAcentral.